AUGAUGGACUGGGCCCCUGUGGUGGUAGGGGUGGUGUUGUUCGUGGUGCUCUCGCCGGGGCUGCUGUUCGAGCUGCCGGGGACGUAUGGGAGGGUCGACUUCGGCGGCCUCCGCACCACCGGCAAGUCCAUCUUCGUCCACACCCUUGUCUUCUUCACCAUCUUCGCCAUCAUCAUCCUCGGGUUCGAAGUCCACAUCUACACCGGCGCCUAG
RNAcentral lists this ribosomal RNA (213 nucleotides) under Triticum aestivum (bread wheat). RNAcentral describes it as "partial small subunit ribosomal RNA". Lineage: Eukaryota; Viridiplantae; Streptophyta; Magnoliopsida; Poales; Poaceae. The record is from RNAcentral.